UACGAAGGGGGCUAGCGUUGUUCGGAAUCACUGGGCGUAAAGCGUACGUAGGCGGCUAUUCAAGUCAGAGGUGAAAGCCCAGGGCUCAACCUUGGAACUGCCUUUGAGACUGGAUAGCUAGAGCACGGAAGAGGUAAGUGGAAUUCCGAGUGUAGAGGUGAAAUUCGUAGAUAUUCGGAGGAACACCCGUGGCGAAGGCGGCUUACUGGGCCGUUGCUGACGCUGAGGUACGAAAGCGUGGGGAUCAAACAGG
RNAcentral lists this ribosomal RNA (253 nucleotides) under uncultured bacterium. RNAcentral describes it as "partial 16S ribosomal RNA". It matches the Rfam family "Bacterial small subunit ribosomal RNA", at positions 524 to 776 of the family's 1533-position model. The record is from RNAcentral.